Molecule: long non-coding RNA, 1578 nt
Organism: Alligator sinensis (Chinese alligator)
Lineage: Eukaryota; Metazoa; Chordata; Crocodylia; Alligatoridae
Exons: 3
Source: RefSeq, a predicted model, not a curated record
GCCGCUGCACCCGGCCGCCUGCCCCGCCGGCACCGCCCGCAGCCCGCUGAGCGCCCUCAACACCGACCCGGCUGGCUCUGUGAACAAGCAGGGGGACAGCAUCCUGUGCCGCUGAACUCCACACCCAAGGUGUGCAGCAGGCAGAUCCAGAGCCAGAGGAACAGAGAAAGACACAUUAGAGAGGGAGGGGGAAAAGAAAUAUCAGCCAUCAGACCAGAGGAAAAAAUCAUUCAACCCCAGAGUCGUUUCCAUACUUCAUUCCAAGAGAGAACCUUUCACCAUUUUGCACAUCCAUAGCAUUUAAACGCAUCCUUUUUUGUUGUUUUUUUUCCUGUUCCUUUUAUAUCAGAUGUGAAUUGUAUGUUUAUUUUGGUGGGAGGAGAUUUAAACCUUAAGCAGAAAAAACAGGACUCUUCUGUUGGAUAGAAGAUCAAGAGUAAAUCAAACUUUAGGAGUAUAACUAUAAAAGGACAGAACAGCUGAAUUGUGAAGCUUUACUAAUCUACCAGAGCAUUGUAGAUAUAUUUGACAUCUAUUGUUUAAAAUAGAUGAUUUUAUUCGGGCCCAGGGAACUUUCUUCUCCCUGCAGGAAUGUUACAUAUUGUAUAGAUAAAUGAGUGACAUUUCAUACUGUGUAUAUAUAGAGAUGUUCUAUAAGUGUAAGUGAGAAAAGUAUAUGCUUUAAUAGACUACUGUAAUUAUAAAAUAUUUUUAAUUAAAUAUUUUUUGUAAAUAUGAUAAAGGUGUGUAUGUUUUUUUUAAUCUGUGGGUACAUUCCUUUAGAAAAUUAUUUACAGCUCAAGUACAGAGCUCCUAAUAUGAAAAUUAUCUUAAAUGUUGAGGAUUUUUCACCCAAUGUCUUUUAGACUCGGAAGUUACAGCUAUAGUUAGUGGUCCUGCAUGAUUGCAUGAGAUGUCUAAUUGCAAAUAAACUUGUUCUGAGUCAAUACAGACGUGUUUUCUUCAAUCUAGAUUGAAAAUGUUUGUAACUGUAUUAUACAUUUGGAAACUACAGUUUUGUCAGUUAGGCACAGGGGUUUUUAGUCCACUAUGUACAAGUAGCAUUAAAACAGUAGUGUUUUUUUACUGAGAUUAGAAAAACAAAGUAUAUCUACUUUUUUGCAUAUGGGGCAAUGCUUUAGGUCUCCAAUCAGCUUUUAUAAAUCUGCUCUUGCAUCAAAAUCAAGGAACUUGCUAGGGAAAAUUCAUUUAACACCAAAAGGUUUAUCAUCACAAACUCUCAUUCUGAUAUUUAAAUAAGUGAAAACAAGUUUUUUUUCUGCUUGCAACCAAAGGGCAAAACCAUUGAUAAAUAAACAGCUAAUCUUUCCUUCGUCCAAAGAAUAUUGAUACUGGACUGUGGAAAAGCACACGGGCAAAGUCAUUAUGAUCAAUGAUGUAAAUCCAUCUUAACAUGAACUUAAGUAGACCAAAAAUCGGAAAACUGCGUCAAGAUUAUUUUUCUAAUACGAAAUGACUAUCACUUCAUUGCAGCUAUGUUACAGUUAAAAUCCUGUUUAAUCUCUGUGAUGUGUAAUUUCUCCAUGUGAACAUUAAACUAGAUUUGCCUGUCUUUAA